CGGCGGACGGGUGAGUAACACGUGGGUAACCUACCUAUAAGACUGGGACAACUUCGGGAAACCGGAGCUAAUACCGGAUAAGAUAUCGAACCGCAUGGUUCGAUAGUGAAAGAUGGUUUUGCUAUCACUUAUAGAUGGACCCGCGCCGUAUUAGCUAGUUGGUGAGGUAACGGCUCACCAAGGCAACGAUACGUAGCCGACCUGAGAGGGUGAUCGGCCACACUGGAACUGAGACACGGUCCAGACUCCGUACGGGGAGGCAGCAGUC
RNAcentral lists this ribosomal RNA (268 nucleotides) under uncultured Staphylococcus sp. RNAcentral describes it as "partial 16S ribosomal RNA". It matches the Rfam family "Bacterial small subunit ribosomal RNA", at positions 96 to 355 of the family's 1533-position model. The record is from RNAcentral. Lineage: Bacteria; Bacillati; Bacillota; Bacilli; Caryophanales; Staphylococcaceae.